Molecule: transfer RNA, 74 nt
Filed under: Bradyrhizobium arachidis
Lineage: Bacteria; Pseudomonadati; Pseudomonadota; Alphaproteobacteria; Hyphomicrobiales; Nitrobacteraceae
Also listed under: 1 other name
Description: tRNA-Gly
Rfam family: tRNA
About the family: Transfer RNA (tRNA) molecules are approximately 80 nucleotides in length. Their secondary structure includes four short double-helical elements and three loops (D, anti-codon, and T loops).
Source: RNAcentral
GCAGACGUAGCUGGAAGGUCGAGCACCUGAGUGCCACUCAGGAGAUUCGGUUUCGAUUACCGACGUCCGCACCA